This 58-nucleotide transfer RNA is filed under the name Salmo salar (Atlantic salmon). It matches the Rfam family "tRNA", at positions 8 to 63 of the family's 71-position model. Rfam says of the family: Transfer RNA (tRNA) molecules are approximately 80 nucleotides in length. Their secondary structure includes four short double-helical elements and three loops (D, anti-codon, and T loops). The record is from Rfam by way of RNAcentral. Lineage: Eukaryota; Metazoa; Chordata; Actinopteri; Salmoniformes; Salmonidae.
UGGCUCAGUUGGUAGAGCAUGGCGCUUGCAAUGCUCGGAUUGUGGGUUGGAUUCCCAU